Xiphophorus maculatus (southern platyfish) is the source of this 354-nucleotide long non-coding RNA. RefSeq lists it as uncharacterized. Lineage: Eukaryota; Metazoa; Chordata; Actinopteri; Cyprinodontiformes; Poeciliidae. The transcript has 4 exons. The record is from RefSeq and is a predicted model, not a curated record.
UGCUGUGGAUUUUAUAGUCAAUGUUUAAAGCCAACAGAGUCUGAAGCGAUGGAGGAAAUUUACGUCAAUAUGGAACCUGUUGGAAAAACUGCAUCUAAUCACACAGGUUGGAGCAGCUCCAAAGAGGCUCUGCCUCCGUGCGGCUGUCUGUUUGGGAAUCCUGAAUGUUUUACUUUUGGCUGAACUCAUCGCCCUCAGUGUACACACUCAUGACAUGACAGCAGAUUUUUCUGACAUCAGCAACAUUCUGACCGAGCAGAACAGCAGCAGCAAGUUUCCCUCCAUGAACGCUAACUUCACUGAAACGGCUCCACGAGCUGAAGACACUUUAAGGGAAAUUGUGUCCUACAGAAC